Molecule: ribosomal RNA, 1137 nt
Filed under: Triticum aestivum (bread wheat)
Lineage: Eukaryota; Viridiplantae; Streptophyta; Magnoliopsida; Poales; Poaceae
Description: partial small subunit ribosomal RNA
Source: RNAcentral
AUGGUGUGCUUCACUUGUGGAGGCCCUGGCCACUAUGUUGGUAACUGCAUCCAGAAAAAAACUUGCUUCAUCUGUGGUCUGGAGGGUCACAAUGUCAAUAAUUGCGCAACCUAGGCACAGCCCCAUCCAGUUGCCACUUUCUUUGGGAGUUCUGCUCUGGGGCUGGGUUUUUACCACAUCAACGCCCCUGUGGGGACAGAAGCAAGUUGGCUGAACUUUAGGAACUGUGGAGAAGUUUGGAUCAUGAAGGGAGAAAUCAGCAAGUCAGAUUUGGUUAAGAAUCUCUCUGGUAUCUUUUGCAAAAACAAACAAUGGACAUGGCAGAUCAGGCCGCUGUCAGAGAAGAAGUUCCUGGUUAGAUUCCCACCCUGGAAAGAUGUUGAAGAAUUGAUUGAAUUCCCUGCCUUUGAUUUGCCCAUCGAUGGAGUUUCCAUGUCUGUGAAGUGGACCGGCUCAAUUGACCCGUUCAGCGAGCUUACUGAAGCAUGGGUAGUUGUUGAUGGUCUAUCCUCUAAAUGGUGCACAUAGAAAGUCCUUUCUCAAAUUGCUUCCUGCUUUGGAAUUCUUGUGGAUGUGGAUUGGAGUGGUCUGAUGAAGAGCUUCUAUGAGAAAGUGAGGGUCAAAAUUGCUUGUAGGGACCCAACUAAGAUCCCCUUUGAAAGGAUUAUGGAGAUGAGGAAAAAACUUUAUAUCUUAUCCUUUACUCUGGAAGGCUUUGACCUGAUAGGGGCUGAUGAUCCUAAUGAUGAUGAUGGUCCUACUAACAUAACAGUGGAUGAUGACAACAAGAUAACAGAGGAGGAGGAACUGGAUAAAGACAUCCUGGAUGAUGGAGAGGAACCCAUUGAUGCCCUGGAACUUGCCAACAGAGCCCCUACAAAAACCCCAGCUGGGAAGAAAGCAACUGAUGAUGGUACUCCAUUCCAUCCCCCUGCUCUGUUGGAAGCAUGCUUCUCUCCUGUGAGAGUCAACAAGAAGACUGAUCAAGAAAGUGUGGCCCAGAGCGUGUGCUCUUCGAUAUCCUAUGCUGAGGCAAUCAAAACCCUCAGCAGUCCACAUAGCAAAACGAAUGGGGCUAGUCUGUUUGCCGCAUCAUCAAGUGGUGUUGCUACUGCCACUUCCCCUGUGUCUGCUUAG